This 759-nucleotide ribosomal RNA is filed under the name uncultured bacterium. RNAcentral's name for it is "bacterial SSU rRNA". It matches the Rfam family "Bacterial small subunit ribosomal RNA", at positions 577 to 1334 of the family's 1533-position model. The record is from RNAcentral.
GGUUUGUCGCGUUGUUCGUGAAAUCUCACGGCUUAACUGUGAGCGUGCGGGCGAUACGGGCAGACUUGAGUACUGCAGGGGAGACUGGAAUUCCUGGUGUAGCGGUGGAAUGCGCAGAUAUCAGGAGGAACACCGGCGGCGAAGGCGGGUCUCUGGGCAGUAACUGACGCUGAGGAGCGAAAGCGUGGGGAGCGAACAGGAUUAGAUACCCUGGUAGUCCACGCCGUAAACGGUGGGUACUAGGUGUGGGUUUCCUUCCUUGGGAUCCGUGCCGUAGCUAACGCAUUAAGUACCCCGCCUGGGGAGUACGGCCGCAAGGCUAAAACUCAAAGAAAUUGACGGGGGCCCGCACAAGCGGCGGAGCAUGUGGAUUAAUUCGAUGCAACGCGAAGAACCUUACCUGGGUUUGACAUGCACAGGACGCCGGCAGAGAUGUCGGUUCCCUUGUGGCCUGUGUGCAGGUGGUGCAUGGCUGUCGUCAGCUCGUGUCGUGAGAUGUUGGGUUAAGUCCCGCAACGAGCGCAACCCUUGUCUCAUGUUGCCAGCGGGUAAUGCCGGGGACUCGUGAGAGACUGCCGGGGUCAACUCGGAGGAAGGUGGGGAUGACGUCAAGUCAUCAUGCCCCUUAUGUCCAGGGCUUCACACAUGCUACAAUGGCCGGUACAAAGGGCUGCGAUGCCGCGAGGUUAAGCGAAUCCUUUUAAAGCCGGUCUCAGUUCGGAUCGGGGUCUGCAACUCGACCCCGUGAAGUCGGAGUCG